UACGAGGGGGGCUAGUGUUGUUCGGAAUCACUGGGCGUAAAGGGAGCGUAGGCGGGUGUCUAAGUUGGGUGUUUAAUUCCGGGGCCCAACCCCGAGCGUGCCGGGGAUACUGGAGGGCUGGAGACAGGUAGAGGCAAGCGGAAUUCCGGGUGUAGCGGUGGAAUGCGUAGAGAUCCGGAAGAACACCGGAGGCGAAGGCGGCUUGCUGGACCUGGUCUGACGCUGAGGCGCGAAAGCGUGGGGAGCGAACAGG
Molecule: ribosomal RNA, 253 nt
Filed under: uncultured bacterium
Lineage: Bacteria
Description: partial 16S ribosomal RNA
Rfam family: Bacterial small subunit ribosomal RNA
Source: RNAcentral